CACCAGAGUUACACAAGCUGCACAAAAGUAUUAGAAAAAUAUGACACACAUUUCCUGCCAUCCUAUCAAAGUAAGAAAACCAGUAUUGUUAUAGUCAAUUAUUCUCACAGAAAUCAUAAAUCACAGUUUCUUAACAAUCCUGUGUGAUUUCUCCUUGUCUUCAGUCCAAGCCACAGAAAAGAAGUCUCCUUAUCUCAGGUUUGGAUCACUUCGUAAGUCACAAUUUUUAAAAAUCCCCCAUGAUUUCUCCUUCUAUUCAGUCCAAACCAUAGAGAGGUCUCCAUAUUUCAAAUUAUAGAGUUCCUUCGUGGGUCUCAGUGUUUUAAAAUCCUCCACGAUU
This is a long non-coding RNA of Phyllostomus discolor (pale spear-nosed bat), 340 nucleotides long. RefSeq lists it as uncharacterized. The record is from RefSeq and is a predicted model, not a curated record. Lineage: Eukaryota; Metazoa; Chordata; Mammalia; Chiroptera; Phyllostomidae. The transcript has 3 exons.